Molecule: ribosomal RNA, 532 nt
Filed under: Paroedura bastardi
Lineage: Eukaryota; Metazoa; Chordata; Lepidosauria; Squamata; Gekkonidae
Description: partial 16S ribosomal RNA
Rfam family: Bacterial large subunit ribosomal RNA
Source: RNAcentral
AAGUAUGAAGGUCCAGCCUGCCCAGUGAACCUAUUUAAACGGCCGCGGUAUCCUAACCGUGCAAAGGUAGCGUAAUCACUUGUCCCCUAAUUAGAGACCUGUAUGAACGGCUACAUGAGGGCUCACCUGUCUCCUACAACCCACUCAAUGAAACUGAACCCUCAGUCCAAAAGCUGAGAUACACUCAUAAGACGAGAAGACCCCGCGGAACUUUAAGCAACCCGCUACCAAAAGACUUGGCCCAAUUUCGGCCACGAAACCUCUUUAAUAAAGUAGGGCAACUGCUUUAAGUUGGGGCGACUACCGGAGUAACAAAAAACCUCCAUGAACAAGGACCAACCCUCCAUUACAGGCUGACAAGCCUAAAAUAUCACCCAUUUUGACCCCAGUCAAACUGACCACCGAACCAAGCUACCCCGGGGAUAACAGCGCCAUCCUCUUCAAGAGCCCGCAUCGCCAAGAGGGCUUACGACCUCGAUGUUGGAUCAGGACACCCAGGCAGUGCACGCCGCCAAAGGUUCGUUUGUUCAAC